RNAcentral lists this ribosomal RNA (451 nucleotides) under uncultured bacterium. RNAcentral's name for it is "bacterial SSU rRNA". It matches the Rfam family "Bacterial small subunit ribosomal RNA", at positions 354 to 796 of the family's 1533-position model. The record is from RNAcentral.
GCUAAGAAUCUUCCGCAAUGGGGGAAACCCUGACGGAGCGACGCCGCGUGGACGAUGGAGGCCGUAAGGUUGUAAAGUCCUUUUCCUGGUGAAGAAUAGCCCGAGGAGUGGAAAGCCUUGGGGAUGACGUUAGCCAGGGAAUAAGCCCCGGCCAAUUACGUGCCAGCAGCCGCGGUAAUACGUAUGGGGCAAGCGUUGUUCGGAGUUAUUGGGCGUAAAGGGCGUGUAGGCGGCUCAUCAAGUCUGGUGUGAAAAUGCAGGGCUUAACCCUGCAGAUGCGCUGGAAACUGGUGGGCUUGAGUUCCUGAGGGGAAGCUGGAAUUCCAGGUGUAGGAGUGAAAUCUGUAGAUAUCUGGAAGAACACCGGUGGCGAAGGCGAGCUUCUAUCAGAGGACUGACGCUGAGGCGCGAAAGCGUGGGGAGCAAACAGGAUUAGAUACCCUAGUAGUCC